GUGUUGUAUGAAAGGAGAUAAGGUUAGCAUUCCCACUGACAAGGAUGGAAGAGGCCCUUGGAGAUGAAAAAAUGCAAACAUUUAAGGCAUUGCUGCCAACUUCAUGGCAUCAAAACAUUUUUA
Small nuclear RNA from Marmota marmota marmota (Alpine marmot), 123 nucleotides. Lineage: Eukaryota; Metazoa; Chordata; Mammalia; Rodentia; Sciuridae. The record is from Ensembl.